This 251-nucleotide long non-coding RNA is filed under the name Pan troglodytes (chimpanzee). RNAcentral's name for it is "long non-coding RNA NONPTRT004807". Lineage: Eukaryota; Metazoa; Chordata; Mammalia; Primates; Hominidae. The record is from RNAcentral.
GAGGUAGUGUGUGAUUUACAAACAGUAGUUGCUGCUAGUAAGCUAUUAUGGUAUUUUCCCCCUUCUAAAAUAUGUUUUUCUGAUUAUAAAAGCAACCCAAUCUAGAAACUAAAGAACACCAAACAAAGAAAAAGAAAAACACUCUUAAUUCUACCUUUGGUGUAGAUUCUUCUAAAUCUGAUUUUCUUUCCCUGCAUGUAUAGUUUGUUGUAUUUUCCCUGGCAAACUAGACUAACACCAAGCAUAUUUUU